This 2835-nucleotide long non-coding RNA is filed under the name Sus scrofa (pig). RNAcentral describes it as "lncRNA (ENSSSCG00030074062.1)". The record is from RNAcentral. Lineage: Eukaryota; Metazoa; Chordata; Mammalia; Artiodactyla; Suidae.
CAUUCUGUUCUGUGUGCUCCUGCUGAAAACUGACGUCGGCUAAGGCUGCAGCAGGUUUCUGGAGGACCCCCGGACCUCAGGGAAUAGAAGGCUGGCGAGGGCAGCAGGGGUGGAGGGAGGCAUUUGAAAGGGCUCCAGGCAGCGGUUGUUUACCAACUGAGCUGAAAGCCUAUUUGAUUCUGUGUAUUGCUUUAGUGGAACGUGUUGGCUGACUUCUGCCCUAGAAGGGGGAAGGGUGCUCUGGGAAAGCGAGUGGGUGGCUCCCCGGGGGCUGAAAUUGUGCCAGCAGCUGACUUCCAGUAAUGGAGCUUGUGCAAGAAGUAGACAGAGCGAGUCCAGGGCUGGCGGCGGAGCGCCCGUUUCCCUGCCAGUGUUUGCUGGGAGAUAACCUGCUCCUGCCUGGCAUUUGAUUAUCCAAGCCCUGCUUUGGUGGCUUAUCCUGUGUAUGACCCGGGAACUGACUAGAUCAGAUCAGGGGUUCUUUUUGGGGGGAAAAGAACGAGGUGCAAGGGACAGGACUUCCUCCUCGUCUUGAAUUUCUUCACUUUUUGUUUUCUAUUGAACCAUUCAACUGGCCAUACCUAGUUCACCCCUGGGUGCACUGGAAUUUAGGGAGAAGAGCAGCGGACCCCUGGCAAGCUUGUUUUAAGCUGACACCCAGUGCAUUCUGCCCCUGCUUGUUUGUAGGUAGUUGAAACCAGCAGAAUAAAAGGCUCAGACGUGACUCUGAGAAGUUUCUGAUAUUUGCCAUGACCAUCUGUAAGAUCUCACUCUUCACCAGGCUGAGAAUUUAAACCCCUUCUUCCAUUUAUUUUUCUGUCCCCAAAUAUGCUCAGCUCUAGUGUCCUGGGUCUCCAGACAGCGCCAUGUUACAACUUAGUUGGAAUAAUUAACACAAAGCUCCAGAUUCAAAUAAUAUGAGCCCCUUCCAAUGAAUAUUUUUAAAAUGGUGGUAAAAUGUAUACAACAAUAUUUAUCAUUUUAACCAUUUGUAAGAGGAUAAUUUAGUGAUAAGAAAUACUUUCACAAUGUUGCAAAACCAUUGUUGUUGUCUAUUUCCAAAACUUUUGGUCAUCCCCAACCUCUGAAACAGUAACUCUCAGUUCCCUGCACCUCCACCACCAGCUCCCAUAACUUAUAUGCUACUUUUUGUUUCUAUGAAUUUACCUAUUCUCUGUUUCUCAUAUAUUUAGAAUUAUAUGUUUGUCCUAUGUUUGGAUUGUUUCACUUAGCAUAAUGCUUUCACAGUCCAUCAGUGUGGCAACAUAUAUGAACAUUUUUAUACUUUUUAAUGGCUGAAUAAUGUUCCAUUGUAUGUAUUCCCAUUUUGUUUAUCCAUUCAUAUGUUGUUGGGCAUUUGGGUUGUUUCCACUUUUUGGCUCUUGUGAUAAUGCUGCUUAUAAAUACUGGUAUAGACAAUAGCAAUGUUUCCAAUUCUUUGAUUCCCUUCUUCUUCUUUCUUUUUGGAUGCACCCACAGCAUGCAGAGUCCCUGGGCCAAGGAUCGAACCUGUGCCACAGCAGUGACAAUGCCAGAUCUUUAAUCUGCUGAGCCACCAGGGAACUCUAGAUUCCCUGCUUUCUUUUAGAUAUAUACCUAAGAGUGGAAUUGCUAGGUAUGGUAGUUGUAUGUAGUAAUAUUUGUAACAUAUGGUAGUUGAAUAUUGUAGUAUUUGUAAUGUAUGGUAGUUGUAUGUUGUAACAUUUGUAACAUAUGGUAGUUGUAUAUUAUAACAUUUGUAACAUAUGGUAGUUGUAUGUUGUAACAUUUUGAGGAGCUGCCCAGCUGUUUUCCACCAGGCACUCUACCAGCAAUGCAUGAGGGUUCCAAUUUCUCCACCUCUUCAUGAAUCCUUGUUAUUUUCUGUGUGUGUUUAAAUUAUUAUUUUUAUUAUAGUAAUUCUAGUAAAAAAUAUAGUGAUAUCUCAUUGUGGUUUUGAUUUACAUUUCCAUAAUAACUUAUGAUGUUGAGCAUCUUUGCAUGUGCUUAUUGGUCAUUUGUGUAUCUUUGGAGAAAUGUCUACUCAUGCCUUUGCCUGUUUUUUUAAAAAAACUGAACUAUGGCUGAUUUACAAUAUUGUGUUAGUUUCAGGUGUACAGCAAAGUGAUUCAGUUAUACAUAUAGCAUGUAACGUAUAUAACAUAUGUAUAGUUAUACAUAGCUCUGCAUAUCCCUUAGUUUUGUGGGGAUUUGAGGGGGCCCCACAGUAAUGAAACUAACAGCACUAAUGGCCUGAACCUAGCCAGAACCCAGAUUGGGUCUUGAACCCCCAGUUUUUAAAUUAUACUCACUCACCUGGUGUCUGGACUUACUGAGAUUGUUUCUUUAUGUCUCUGCGCAGAAAGAAUUCAGCGAGAGACAAAGUGAUAGGCAAGAAAUUGAUUUAUUAAGAUGGGACGCUUGUGAGAGAUGCAAGCAGGCAAGCAAGGAGGCUCUGCCCCCAGUAUUAGGUGGGCUACAGUUUUAUCAUCAAAGGGGAGUGGAGGUCAGAAAAAACCACUUCUUCUUCCUCUUUCUCAGAGUAGUAGCUCCUCCUUGGUAUCUGGUAAGAGAGUAUAUGACCCUAUAAGGUCAAACUAGGACUGGCAUGGUGCUUAUUCAAAUCAGCAGAAGGGGAGUUCCCAUUGCGGCAAAGUGGAACAAAUCUGACUAGGAACCAUGAGGCUGGCCUCCCUCAGUAAGUUAAGGAUCUGGUGUUGCAGUGAGCUGUGGUGUAGUUUGCAGACACGGCUUGGAUCCCACGUUGCUCUAGCUAUGGUGAAGCCCAAAGCUAUAGCUCCAGUUGGACGCCUAGCCUGGGAACCUCCAUAUGCUGGGGGUGCGGCCCUAAAAAAC